Long non-coding RNA from Esox lucius (northern pike), 2434 nucleotides. The record is from Ensembl. NCBI's taxonomy places the organism in Eukaryota, Metazoa, Chordata, Actinopteri, Esociformes, Esocidae.
AGGACAGAUGGACAGGCUUCUGCUGCAUGCUCUUCCCAGAUAGCAAAAAAUAUCUGCACAGCUUCUUUUUGCCGCCGGCCCUAAGCUGUCGGCUAUAGGUGCCUCCUGCUGGCGGGGAUGAAACAUUUGCCGCAGAAUACGUCACUCCCAUUUCUUGCGAGAUGCCGACUGCUUCAUUUUCUCUGGCGGUUGCCUCGGUCUAAUUGACCGCUGUCGUCCGGCGGCAAGACGCUUUUAAAUACAAGGCUACUCUCAAAAUCGACCGGCCAUGUUGGUUUGGACACACAUUCGCAUCAGUUCGUCGCUCAAUCGCGAGUUACAGCCUGCAGCUUGCUAGCUAGCAAAGUCAUCGACUACAAUCGUUUAAGUAAGUACUUAUAUUAUGUUUACAUUGUUUUUAGUUUAUAUAUUUAAAAUGUGUAGUCAUCUUUGUUCUUGCCUAACUAGCUAAAGUAGCCUUGUUUACGCAAUGUUGCUAGUACAUGUAGAAUUUUUACGAACUAUAAUAGGUAGCAAAAGCUUUACAUCUAGAAAGACUAAGUUUAACUUUUAGUGUUUUCUUACCAAAAUAACGAUGUAUAUAUGUUGUUUAAAUUAUUUUUUUUGCCUAAACAAGUAUGCUGCUAGUCCAGUAGCUAGAGCAGCUAGUAAGUGUUAGCUAGCACAUGCGGUUUUGCCUUUGUUACAGUACACACUGUGGCUAGCAAGUUUUGUGCUAUGUUGCUACUGUACUGGAUUUAAGGCGAUUAUGAUUUCUAAUUCUCUGAACUGCUGUACUUUUUAUGUUUGAGGAAAAUUCUGUGUUCACUUGAAUCACAACACUCAGUGAAUACAUUUUAUUUUUAACAAUUUCACUGUGCCACAUUUGGCUGAUGAUGUUUCCCCCCCACAGCAUAGCUACUGUAUAUUCCUAACGUUAACAAUCCGGUUUUGUUUACGUUUAAUGGGCAGAUACCUUGGCCAGAGCAUUACUGGUUAUCUUCACCCAAGAGACCUACUAUUGAUCAAUUGUUUUGGCUUUAAAGAAGUUGCAUCGAUUCCAGUAAACCAGGAAAAUGUUGAGCCAUCUGUAGACUUCAGAGCUGAACCAGGUUUCUCCCCAGUAAUCCAGACUCCACUUCACAGAGCCAAGAGUUUGAGUACAACUCGUCAAGUACUAAGCUUUACACCACCAGCAGCAAAUUUACCCUGGCAGCAUAUGGGUGAAAACGCUGGAGGAGAAAGUCAUCGUUUUGUUAUUGGCCCUUGGACGCCCCUGGCAUCUCGUGUACAGCACAAAGUUUUCAGCUAUGAAGAUUUCCAGAGACUCCAGAAUGAAAAUCAAGCCCUGAGGGAAUGCAAUGCACAAGCAGCUUCGGAUGACAGUGGCUCACUUCAGGAGCAGGUGAAGCAAGUAGGGACAAUGUUGAAGACGUUUGCUCUCACUGGGCAAUCAGUUUUUCUGUAGGUGCGUUACCUGAAAGGAGCAUCUGGCCGUGAAGGCAGAAAAAGGCGCCGCACAGCUGAGAAGGACCCACAGCCGACCCCUUAAACCUAGGCUGACUACUGACACCCCAGCAUCACUGAACUGGAACACUUUCUUUAUCCUGCAGUCAGUAACAUCAAGAAGCCAGAAGUGCCAGAGUACACUCACCAAAUCCACCCUGUUUUUUUUUUGUAUUUUAACUUUAGUGUUGGGUUAUUUCAUUCCGUCUUAACGAUUCUAUUAUCGUUUGUAAAUCCUAUUUCAUACCUGUUACUUGAUAUGGCACAUUAACUAGUACCAAAAUUCUACUUUCAUUUCAUCAGUGUGCUUAACUGUUAUUCUAUUAAUAAUAGCUUGGAAAUACUAUUUCAAACCUCUGAUACUUGAUAUUGCACAUUACCUGGUACCAAAUAUUCUACUUACUCUGUUUUUAACAUCAGCAUUUUUCAUUCCAUCACAGUGCUUAACUGUUAUUCUAUUGUUAAAUAUAGCUUGUAAAUCCUCGUGCCACAGGUCAGCAUUGUAGUUAUAAUGGUUUGUUCUACUACUGUUUUUACCUCCGUAUUUUUAUAUAAAUAUGUCAAGUUUUAUUUAUCACAGAUACAAGAGACACAGAUCUUAUUGCAGCACGGUGUAAAUCUUGUGCUCCAGGUCAGCAAUGCCAUUAUAAUGGUCUAUUCUAGAGCUUUACUCUAAAUUAUUACCACUUUUCCUAUUGUUAGAAAUGGCUUGAAAAUUUGAUGUUAUACCUCGAUUUAUUUGGUAUCCUGCACAUUCUUUGGUACCAAAUAUCCUCAUUACUUGUUAUGUUUACUGGUAAUUUCAUCCCAGAGCUGACCUCUUUAUAUUAUUAACAAUUAUUGUGUUUGUGUUAUAAUUUGCUUGUAUGGCUGUUUUUUUUUAACCAAAAUUUAAUUGGAAACCUGCAUGUUCUGUAGUGUGUAUUUAUAUGUAUAUUUUUUUCUGCCU